CGCCUUCUCAGUGUCACCCGCCUGGACAGUUUUAAGGCGCAGGCAGCUGAGCCUCCAUCGCUUGACGGCGCCUCAGGCACACCUUUAACAACUAUGGACUACACAAUUGAGCAUCAAUCUUAGUCCAAUUAGCUCUAUUUGUUAAAGUUAUAUCUAUGACAUUUUUAACCAAGUGGUCAUCAUACCCCUGCCUCAUAAACCAUAAUUCCACUGAUGCAGCCCAAGACAUAUAAUUUUGACUUUCUACUAAUUUAACAGUAGUAAUAGCUGGUGAAUU
This 277-nucleotide unclassified non-coding RNA is filed under the name Hevea brasiliensis (rubber tree). Lineage: Eukaryota; Viridiplantae; Streptophyta; Magnoliopsida; Malpighiales; Euphorbiaceae. The record is from RNAcentral.